AGGCACUUUACUUCCUGCAGUAUAGGGACCUGUUGUGGUCAGAGAGUGAAAGUCCUCUGAUUCUCUUUAACUGGACUGCAUUUGAUUCUGUGGUUGUCCCUCCAAUGGCCGUGCAGGAGGAAAGGCACUGUGCAGUUAUUCUUUAUGCUAAGCCACCAAAUAAAAGCUCACUCUUUCAUGCCUGUGAGGAGGCACCUGGAGAGAGACAGCAACUUCAAGGCCCUGCAAAUAGAGCAAGAAGCAAUUUUCUUAGGGGGCAUGUUACCUGGUCUUCUUGAAGAGUAACUGACAUCGACUGGUAUUCUGUGGGAUUACUUUGCACCAGAAAUGUUUCUCCCCUGAUUAGACAGCCCGGAAACUCUUGCAGAAGUCCACAAGGGUGGGCCUCAUCUAAUCAAUUGAAGACCUUCAGAGCAAUAGCUGAGGCUCCCCAAUGAAGAAGAAAUUCUGCCUCAAGACUGCAAAGUAGAAAUCCCAUCUGAAUUUCCAGCCUGCCCCUGUGGAAUUUGGAGUCAAGACUGCAACAUCAACUCUUCCCUGAAUUUCCAGACUGCCGGCAUGCCCUACAGAUUUUGGACUUGUUAAUCCCCAUAGAUAUGUGAGCUAAUUCCUUAAAUCUGUGUAUGUGUCUGGGUGUGUGUAUAUUAGUUUGAUUUUUCUGGAGAACACUGACAAAUACAAGCCCUGAGAGACAAGAAGGGCAGUUUCUUUUCCCAUUUUACAGAUGGCUAAAUAGAGGUACAGUAAGCUUAGGCCAUUAACCUAAGGCUCCAUGCUGAAUAUUUGAGACUGGAAGGAAGGAAGGUCAUUGGCCUUCUAACUCCCAGCUUUUAAAAUGGAAGCUACUGCUUGGUAUAUUGUCCUCCCAGUAGCCAAGAGCUCAACCAUCUGGAAGGGACAUUUGAACAACAUUUCCUCUCUCUGGCAUUGUAUUGGGUCUGGACGCUAAGCCAGGUGACACCAAUGGGCUUUGGAGAUCCACAUACAUAUUUAACAACCACUGUUUCAAUGGCUUGCUUCAGAGGAGAUAUAAGCCUUCCUUUGAACAAAACAAUCACCUCACUGUAAAUGUGUACAGGAACAUCAAACCAUCAGUAAGCUGAAAGAUUUUUAUCCUUUGCAGUCAGUAAUGAAAGACUGGAAAGGAUUUCUCUUGAGAUAUUCUGGUUUUGAUGGAUUUUCUUUGUUUACAAUGAACCUGGGACUUAAAUAUUACAACCUAUCCUUGCCUGACUGAAAUACCUGACCCACAAUAUCUGGAACAAUAACCUGGGUAUUAUUUGAAGCAUACUGGUCCAAACUUUGACUCUGUUUCACACUGGGUAUAAAAUUAAAUGCAGAACAAUUACAAGUUAGUGACUCCCUAUCCAGUGGGUUUUGGAUUCUCACCGCUUUGGAGGGGGAGGAGAAGUGCUCCACAUGCUUGGGUGAGAAAGCCCGCUGUCAGUGGUUUAGGUCAAGACAUGAUCAUCUUACCAUGAGUGAGUUUCUCUUUGAUGCUUGGGCUGAGCUGUCCCCUCCUGCCAAGAGCAGAGUUAAACGCAACAACCUGAGGGUAGGUUUGGGCAUAAUGGUGUCAUUUCUCUGCUCAUAUAUCAAAAAAUCAUGGGAGUCUGAAAUUCACUGUAGAGGCUGCUACCUACAAGGGAGUUAAGAUGCCACGAAUAGCAAAGCUUAUGUGGUCUUGUACAAGCUCCGUUACAGUCUAUGCCUCAUUUUGCUCAUCUGUGAAAUGGGAAUAAUACUUGUUUCACAGGAUUGAUAAGACGAUUAAAAACACUUAAAAUUAGUCAGUGGCCUUUUCUGAAUAUCAAACUUGGGCCAGCACUGCGUCAAUCAUUGGGGAUUCCUUAUCUUGGUUAAAUGUCACAAGUAUUCUAUAAAGGGGUGUGGUACAGUUAUUGGUGCUGUUUUAAAAUGAGGGAAUUGUACUUAGCAGGUUAAGUGCCUUUUCCGUUGUCACUUAGUGAGUUAACAGCAGAUAGGACCCUGACCUCAAUCAACCACUGGGUGCUCAGGGCAGCUCAGUUUUAUCCUCCUUGAUGCUGGUCUUCACCCCUUUCCUUUUUUGCUCCUCUUAGGGUCAGGGUCUCAAAUGGAAUUCUAACCAGAAAGAUCAGAGGGGAUGCAGUGUUUCAGCUUGGGCUAAUGGGCUCUCCUUGAGGCUGGACUGAAAGAAACUGAAGAUCCUUCCAUGUUGAAACAAGGGGAGAAUGGGUCUAAUGCAAAGAGAAAUAAAAUCAUUUGCUUCUGUGAGUGCCACUGUUAUCCUGUGUUGCUAAGAAAUUAUAAGCUGCUGGAGGUAAGGCAGUUAACUUGCAAUAGACUCCUGGUUUUAUGUUAAACAAAUGAUUUUUGAUGAGGAAGUUUGUAGUUUCCUCUGACGAUAAUCUGCCCUGUUCAUUGCUUGUCUCAUUGUCAAAUUCAGCUUGCAGGGCUUUGUGAAUUCUCAUGAAAAGCUUUCUUUCCAGGCAGUGAGAAAGUUUAAGGUCAGAAGAAGGACACAGUGCUGAGAAAGUAAAAGCUCACGGGAUUUGUUGAGUGAUGAGACCCUCUCUGGCUCAUAGAAAAAUAGAAAGCCUUUUCUUGCUGUCAAACUUAAAAUUUAUCAAGGCAAGUGGAAAACAAACACAGGAAAAAUUAUUCCAAAAGCACUAUGCUUUCAGGCUUCCCAUUCCAUUGACGAUGAAAUCGGCACCCAAGGGGGUAGGAGGAAAGGAGCCACAGAGAAUAUAUAGGAGAUUGGACCAGAGUGUACACUGAAGGAAAAGGCAUUGUUGUCCUCCUGGUUCAAUCCAUUGUGUUGAAGAGGUCGUGCUGAUGAUUUCAGCCAAUAAAUAGUGAAUGUCUACAUAAUGAGUGGUAAGCCCAGCUCUGUAUCCAGGCAUCCGUAUGCUGAGUAACGUUCUCCCAAGGGCAUGGCUGGCUAAUUGUCUGGAGCCUGGAUGAAGAGAGAGAGGAUUAUAUUACAUGCUCCGGCAUAUUACAUUAAGCUGAGUCCUGAUUCAGGGCCAAUAUUUUUGUUCAGUGAUGCUUGUUGCCUCAGAUCUCUCCCUGGUGGAGUUUUAUCUCCCUGAGGAAACAUGGUGAUAACUCUAAAGAUCAGUCUAUAGACUAUCAAUCAAAACACUGGAGCACUUUUCUUUAUCCAGAGAAAGAUUCGUUGUAGAAAGAGGAGCACUGGACUGAGAGUCAUUUAUGCUCUACUCUAGGCCUAGCAUUGCCACUGAGCAGGUGUUCAACUCAGGGCAAAUCAUUUGUACUCACAAAAAUACCACUUUCUAAUCUACACACUGAGAGAAAAUGAAGGGUUUCUUCGAAUUAUAACCAGCUGGAAAACCCAAUAUAUACACUAGAUAAAUUCAGAGAGGUUCUAGGUGAAUAAUACCUAGGGACCAAGGACCCAGUGUUUACCUCAACCUUUACUUCUUCCCACCAUCCCUUCAAGAAGUGGCUUCACCUAAUCUUUAGGCAUCCAUAGUUUCCAGAAUAGCUUCCCGUGCUGCUCCUCCCAGAGAUCACAUAGUGGAAAUGUUAGACUUUUACCUCUGUGCUUCUAGACUUUCAUGCAUUCUCCUAAAAUUUCAGCAGGAGAAACCCCCUGAAGGUGAUUUUUACAAGGAGGUUAGAAACAUACAAGUGGAUUUCUGUGUUCUACAAUGUCCAGGCUUUUAAAAAAUUUCAGUCCCUCUCUUUUGUGUAGAAAUCUGUAUUGAUUUUCGUUCCAAUUAAGCCACACUGAUGUUAUGUUAUUGUGUGGGUCAUGGUUGUGUGCAUUAUUGUUGAUUACAAAAUUCGCCAUGUUGGUCAGUUCUAAAAGGGACAGUGUGUCCCUUUGAUGGCAAAAGCUUCUCUGGUAGAUGUUUUGUCCUGAGAGAAGGGAAGAAGCAGUGGGAAAAUAAUAAAAGCAGAGGUUUGUGGAAGGGACUGUGUAUCUGGUUCUUGAGUUAAGGCUCUCACUAGACCAAACCGUCAGGUGAAAAAACAGGAAACAGAGAGAUGGACACAUUUGAACUAUUGGUUUUUUUCAUUUAAGGAAUGUGUCCACAUUAUGAAUAGAUUUUAUAGAAUCAUAAAGUAUUGAAAUUUUAAAGCUAGAAGGGAUCAAAAUGAUUUUCUCCUAAGAGUGGCUUUAGUUUUUGAGAGGAGAGCUUUUUCUUUUUCUUUUAAUGAAUGUUCAUACAUAAGCAGAGGAUUUUGAUCUUCUGAAUAGCCACUUAGGGAAUGUUCUUUUUUGUAAUUUUGCAAUGUACAUGAGAUUUUCAAAAUGACUGGCAAAGCUUUUCUGGGAAAGAGACUGCUAAAGUACAUUGGGGUAAAUUGAGAAAUUGAAAUAAUUACCCCUAAAUUUAUCAAGAUAAUUUCAUUAAGGCUGGUCAUUAUCAAAAACUGUUCCUGAGGUCACUAAAACAGUCCUCAAUUGAACUGGAGUUACUUAUGUACUUUAC
Molecule: long non-coding RNA, 4448 nt
Organism: Mustela lutreola (European mink)
Lineage: Eukaryota; Metazoa; Chordata; Mammalia; Carnivora; Mustelidae
Exons: 4
Source: RefSeq, a predicted model, not a curated record